This is a long non-coding RNA of Arachis duranensis, 426 nucleotides long. RefSeq lists it as uncharacterized. NCBI's taxonomy places the organism in Eukaryota, Viridiplantae, Streptophyta, Magnoliopsida, Fabales, Fabaceae. The transcript has 3 exons. The record is from RefSeq and is a predicted model, not a curated record.
AUAGAGAUCUAGCACGCGAAGCAGUUCGAAAGUCCUUGGUUCUGUUGAAAAAUGGAAAAGAUAUUAGCAAACCCUUUCUUCCAUUGGAUAGGAAAGCAAAGAGAAUCCUUGUUGCUGGGACUCAUGUCGAUGAUCUUGGAUUUUAGUAUGGAGGUUGGACCAAAACUUGGUAUGGAUGUAGUGGGAGGAUUACCAUUGAUCUAAAUGCCACAAGAACUUCAAAAUGAAGAGGAAUCCUAGGAAAGUAAAAUGGACCAAGGCGUAUAGGCAGGUGCAUGGAAAGGAUAUGACUCAGGAUUCAACCUUUGAGUUUGAGAGAAAGCGAAACAGGCCAGAGAGAUAUGACAGGAAUCUUGCGGAGAACGUCCUUAAGGCCAUUCCAAAGAUUGAAAAGAUCAGAGUCACCAAGGAGGAAAGGCACUAUAA